The sequence is a ribosomal RNA, 85 nucleotides long. It matches the Rfam family "Bacterial small subunit ribosomal RNA", at positions 1 to 83 of the family's 1533-position model.
UUGAAUUGAAGAGUUUGAUCAUGGCUCAGAUUGAACGCUGGCGGCAGGCUUAACACAUGCAAGUCGAGCGGUAACGGGGAGUAGC